UACGUAGGGUGCGAGCGUUAAUCGGAAUUACUGGGCGUAAAGCGUGCGCAGGCGGUUUUGUAAGCCAGAUGUGAAAUCCCCGGGCUCAACCUGGGAACUGCAUUUGUGACUGCAAGGCUGGAGUGCGGCAGAGGGGGAUGGAAUUCCGCGUGUAGCAGUGAAAUGCGUAGAUAUGCGGAGGAACACCGAUGGCGAAGGCAAUCCCCUGGGCCUGCACUGACGCUCAUGCACGAAAGCGUGGGGAGCAAACAGG
This 253-nucleotide ribosomal RNA is filed under the name uncultured bacterium. RNAcentral's name for it is "partial 16S ribosomal RNA". It matches the Rfam family "Bacterial small subunit ribosomal RNA", at positions 524 to 776 of the family's 1533-position model. The record is from RNAcentral.